RNAcentral lists this long non-coding RNA (240 nucleotides) under Elaeis guineensis (African oil palm). Its description in RNAcentral is "long non-coding RNA (EGUI_LNC063155)". The record is from RNAcentral. Lineage: Eukaryota; Viridiplantae; Streptophyta; Magnoliopsida; Arecales; Arecaceae.
CGACCUUAUGUGUGGCGCCUCUCCGAACUCCCUCGACCGUCCGGACUUCUCUGACAAUGAGUUCCUCCAUUCGUCUACCAGGCCGCCCCAAAAGCUCUCCGAGCCUCGCUGCCAGUCGACCUCCUACAGCAGCCAACCAUUCCCCGGGUCUCUCCCAGACUUCUUAUGGCCACGGAUGACCCUACUUUGAACUUCUUCCAGGCUUCAUCAGCAUCCGAGCUUCCCCGACAAUGAGAUUUC